GUGGGGAAUCUUGCGCAAUGGGCGAAAGCCUGACGCAGCCAUGCCGCGUGAAUGAUGAAGGUCUUAGGAUUGUAAAAUUCUUUCACCGGGGACGAUAAUGACGGUACCCGGAGAAGAAGCUCCGGCUAACUUCGUGCCAGCAGCCGCGGUAAUACGAAGGGGGCUAGCGUUGCUCGGAAUUACUGGGCGUAAAGGGCGCGUAGGCGGACAGCUUAGUCAGGGGUGAAAGCCCAGGGCUCAACCGUGGAAUUGCGUUUGAUACUGGCUGUCUUGGGGUUGGGAGAGGUGAGUGGAACUACGAGUGUAGAGGUGAAAUUCGUAGAUAUUCGGAAGAACACCAGUGGCGAAGGCGACUCACUGGCCCAAUACUGACGCUGAGGCGCGAAAGCGUGGGGAGCAAACAGGAUUAGAUACCCUGGUAGUCC
This 425-nucleotide ribosomal RNA is filed under the name uncultured bacterium. RNAcentral describes it as "partial 16S ribosomal RNA". It matches the Rfam family "Bacterial small subunit ribosomal RNA", at positions 354 to 796 of the family's 1533-position model. The record is from RNAcentral.